AGAAGUUCUGCAACAACAGAAAAUGUGUGACAAAAAUGCCAGAAUUAUUAUAGUCUCCCUUUAGUUCCUGAAUAUCAUUAAGAAAAGAAAAUUAAUCUGGCUACUCUUAGAAGAGUUCCAGGGCUAUGAAUAACUAUUCUAUGAAAAAAUAAUAUCACAGUGAAUUUACUUCAUUUCCCUAAAACAUCUAAGUAUAUAGGUUCUUAUUACUUGGGCAAGGUGCUGAUAACCGUGGCAUCCUACACAUGUCAGAGUCUGUACCACAGAUGAAGAACAUGAAAAUAUGAAAUAUUUUUGCUUAGAUGAGUGCUGCUCCCCUUCACCCUAAAGAAAGGGAGAAAAAUCUUCCCUCCAAAAGAAGAAUCUUGAGUUCUUACUUUAAUUUAGAGUGUAAAUAAGUAUAUCCAUAGGAAAGGUAAAUCCCAGGACUCAUACCUCUCCUUGAAAUUUAAAAUAUAGCUCUGAAGAGGUGAAUCUACAUGGAGUUGUAAAAAGAGAGAGUAUUCCCUCCAGACAAAGGCUUUCAAGCAACCACAGGAGAAAAUGCCCUGUGUAGGGAUAAUGAAUAUUAAUCUAAAAUAAUUUUUUCUAAUAUAUGGUUUAAUUCCA
This 609-nucleotide long non-coding RNA is filed under the name Homo sapiens (human). RNAcentral's name for it is "non-protein coding LINC01075:3". The record is from RNAcentral. Lineage: Eukaryota; Metazoa; Chordata; Mammalia; Primates; Hominidae.